RNAcentral lists this transfer RNA (69 nucleotides) under Lyncina vitellus. Its description in RNAcentral is "tRNA-Phe". It matches the Rfam family "tRNA". From Rfam's summary of the family: Transfer RNA (tRNA) molecules are approximately 80 nucleotides in length. Their secondary structure includes four short double-helical elements and three loops (D, anti-codon, and T loops). The record is from RNAcentral. Lineage: Eukaryota; Metazoa; Mollusca; Gastropoda; Littorinimorpha; Cypraeidae.
GCUCAGAUAGCUCAAGUUCUAAGAGCGUAGCACUGAAGAUGCUAAGGUGGCGAACUUCGCCUCAGAGCA